This 193-nucleotide unclassified non-coding RNA is filed under the name uncultured fungus. Its description in RNAcentral is "partial internal transcribed spacer 2". Lineage: Eukaryota; Fungi. The record is from RNAcentral.
AACGCAAGUGGCGCUCUGCGACGAGCGGAGCAUGCUUGGCUGAGGGUUGUUUUGAUUGGUGGCGGUAUUCGGUUGGAUUCCGCCGAAGGUGGUGCGGGGACGGAGCAGAACAGGGUAGAUUCGUUUGCCCUUGUUUGGAAGAUGCUCCAUUGAGUGCAACCUCAGAUCAAGCAGGAGUACCCGCCGAACUUAA